AAAAUUACUCUUUCUUGAGUUGAUUUUCAUCUCUUUUUCUCAUUUUCCAAUAAUCCUGCAAGUAAGCACAUUUUAUCAGUUCUCGGGAAGACCUUUAAGAGUUUUUGAGCUAAAACAAAAAUAAAAGGGUGCAAAUAAGUGGUCAAAAUUCCUACUUAUCAACUCCCCGAAACUUAAUAUUUUGCUUGUCCUCAAGCAAAUAAGGUCAUUCCCACCUUCACAAGAGAAGAUAUAUUUUAGCUAGCCUAAGGUGAAUCAAACACUCAUCAAUUGGGACCAACAAUUACCCACAACACUUAUGAAUUAACAAUAAGGCAAUGAUUUGACUUUACAAGUACAAUAGUUCAAAUGUGACACUAGAGCAUCAAGAGUUGACUUUAUUCAUCAAGGAAGCUUGCUCUUUCAUUUAGGUCAAUGUGGAUCCCAAACUCCUCCUCAUCUACUCUCCGUUGGCAUAUCUCACUUAAGAAUGUUGCACAAAAUUCAAGGAUUUAUGAAAAGUUUGAUUAUCUCUCUCAAAAGAAUAUCACAAGUACGGCUCUAAGUACCGUAUGCUUGCCCCUCAUGUAAAUCACUACUAGUGUAAGUUCACUCGGCUUGAAAUCAUGUAGGUCUUUGUGGAAUGUAAUGAAGGCUAUUGGACAAAGGUAGAGCAUGAUGGAAUAGAAACGGGUUCAUCUUUCCUUAAGCACUCCAUUUUGCUUUUUUUUUUGCUCAUGUUUUGGCGACUCUUUGAGUCAUUAACUUUUUUCUUAGGGAAACUAGAGAGACUUAACAUCACUCUUUCUCGGUCAUGAUGAUAAUUUUCUCUUUCUUUGUUUUCUCCAUGCUUUGAAUCAUUGCUUUACUUUGAACCCCUUCAACUCUUCACUUUAUUCACUUUCUUUUUGCAUUUUUCUUUUGUUCAUUCUUUCUUUUUCUUCGCAUUUCGUUUUAUUUAUUUCUUCUCUUUUUGUGCCUUUAUACCACUUUCAAACUCCUCGUCUCUCCCCCAAACUUACGUUUUAGCCAAUUACUACUCAAGAGUGAUAAAGAAAGCUAGGUUGCCAAGAGAGGGUCACUACAAAAUAGGUAAAGACUUGUAAAGUGGAUAACAAAUGAGAAAGGUAUUAGGCUCAAACGGGUUGACUAGGAAUAGCAACAUUGGUGGGACAUGGACAAUUUCAAGCAGGCCAAGGAGAGCCUACAAUCAUUUCUCAAGCCAAGCAAAACUUAGAACUUUUCCUAGAAACACAUUUGGGGCAAGUUCUAGACCAUUCGCACGGGUACUUGGACUUGCAACACAAAAUCUCACUUAUCACACAAUUGGAUUGUUAAAGAGGAUAGAGUCGAGGGCCUACAACAACCCUAUUCAAGAUUAAAAAUCACUAAUGGUUCAACUAAAUCACUUGAUGAUUGCUCAAGUCAACACAAGUGUCUAAAAGUCACUAAUUAGAGCUAUUUCUUCCCAAGAUCUUGUUUUUAACCAUAAGGUUGUCGUUAAAUGUAUUGGUACAAACUGAAUCAUGCUUGACCCUUUUUAUUCAUUAAUACUACUUUUUUUACCUAAACAUCAAACACGGACUCAAUCCCUUAAGAAGGUUGUCACGCCAUCCAUCGUUGGAAAGAGCCACUUGGUUCAUACAAAACUCACCUUUGGAAAAAGCACGAGAUGCACAACUUACGAGUAUAGUUCCAUUCCUUAAGGAAUGGCAUGAGCUCCACGGGGAUAAUGUUAGCGGUCCGCACCCAGACAAAGUGACUCAUCCACCCCCGAUCUCCGUCUUCCCCAUCAUCAAUAACAAAGGGCGUAGUCGAUCAGCAUCGCAAGGUCAGCGGACCUCGAUGGUGGAAGGGCCGGUACAGCCUGAUAAGGUGACUAAGAGUAAAGUCAAGCCCUGCCUUCUCCGCAAAAAAAUCUCAUCAUCAGAAAUGUUCGCCAAAAUGACGGAUGGAUAUGCGCCAAGGUAACCCGAUACUCUAAGCAGAAGUCGAGCACAACCCUAUCAAGGGAGCCCAAUGUGAAAAGGUAUGUGUACACAUUCAAGAAUCCAUUGGCACGAUCCGUGAUGCCCUCACCUGGAGGAAGUAUCUGUGGUACUACCUUUUCCCACCAUCCGCAGUGUUUUCUCACUAACCCAAGAUGUUCUUCUCCUAUUGGAGAAACAACCUUCAAGGCAUACUCUCAUUAGUCCUGAAUGCCGGAGAGGGAGCUCUCCCCUCCCUGUCGGACGGACCCCGACAUAGCAGCCAUGGCUAUGACAAAAUUAGAAAACUAAAGCGGGGAUAUAUGCAAGUGCGUUAGUGCUGGAGUAACGAAAGGCUAGCACAGAAAAAGAAGAGACCAACUGCUUAAAGUGGUGGGAUAUCCUAAAAGCAAAAAACGUCCAUGUAUAUAUAUGGAAACCAUCCUCUGCCUCAAAAUCGGCUAAAAGCACCAUCGCUAGUCCCGAGGUGGUACCCAACCUUGAGGACCUCCAUCAGGACAAGGCUAGGCUCCAGGAAGUCGAUGAUGCCUUUGCCAACAUCAAGGUGGUACCCGACCUCGAGUAUCUCCAUCAAAAAGAAGUUAGGCUCUGAAAGGCCAACAACAUAAUUGCUAGUCCCGAGGUUGUACCCGACUCGAGGAUCUCCAUCAAAGGAAAGUUAAGCUCUAGGGAGCCGCCAACAUCGCCAGUCCUGAGGUGGUACUCGACCUCGAGGACCUCCAUCAGGACAAAUCUAGGCUCUAGGAAGCCGAUGACGCCUUUGCCAGCACCGAGGUGGUACCCGACCUCGAGGAUCUCCAUCAAAGGGAAGGUUAGGCUCCAGGAAGCCAACGACAUCAUUGCAAGACUUGAGGUGGUGCUCGACCUCGGGGGCUUUUUGUCAAAAGGGAAUCAGGUUCCAAGGAAAUAAGCAUUUAAACUCCACACUUAUGGGCUUGGCCUCGGGAUACCGUCCAAGAUUGGACAAACCCUCUUUCAAGAUCUAUCUACAGCGCCUUAAGACUAUUUACACUAAGCCCAAAGAAAGUUCACAGGCCUCCGAGCAAAUUUCUUCUCAAAGGUUACCACGAAAUUUAAGUAAUAAUUCAUGGUUUCAAGGCCCAAAAUGCUACUUUCAUUCUACUCGAUGUCAAGGUCCCAGCGACCCGAGUUCAUCGGUCGGAUCUAGAUUCGAUCCAAGGGAUUGCAAAAGGUCCCGCGCGAGGCGAUAUUAUUCGACCGAAGGCCAGAAAGAAUACUCACACCCGGGUUCGAUAUGGUCAUUAACCAAUAGAAUCACGCAUUCGGAAUCUCCGUGAACAUAAAUGAAAGGGAGUACAGCAAGCAUCAGAGACACAAUUACAGAAAUAUGUUUGCAUUCACUUACAUAUGAUUACAAAAGCCCACGAGGGGUCCUUACACGGAAACAAAAAAGCAGGAAGGUGUACAUAUAGUAAAAGCCUAAGAGCCUAGCCUAUUCUCAAAGGUGCAUCCUUGGCAGCAACAUUUUCGGGCAUCAUCUCCUCAGGCACGUGUCCUCAAAGGCAAAGUCUUUGUUCUGAGGAUGAAGAGAGUGAUGACUGCCCGCUGGUACUUAGGGGGAGAAGAAGUGCUGCUACCUCAAAAUCUAUUGAGUUGAAGGUGACUGAGUCGGAGGCUGCUGGAACUGUGGCCGCCGAGGUGGUCCCGUCCCGAACUGAGGGAAUUGUUAGAGGGGGCUUAGACGAAGUCCCCGGGCUAACAAACGACCAAAGCACAUUGAGUGCCGAGGGGCACCUGGUUGAUGAAGCCGAAGAAACUAAUGAUGAAGCCCCUCGUAGGAGGGAGAGAUCCCCAUCGACCCAGUCGAGGUGAUCAAUAUAGAUGAUUUUUUGUCGGGCCCAUCAUUCUAUCCUAGGCAAAUACGGGAUGCCCAAGAUGUGAAAACUCCCAUCGUGAGGGCAUCCCCCGGAGAGAAUAGUGUGUUUGAAGGAUAUUUUGUUGGGGUUGAGGAAGGCCCCGAUAUCGAUGCAUCAUUGAUCUUUGAAGAAGCCGAGAAGCUUCGACAACAGGUAAUCUUGACUUGACCAUUGUAUUUUGGGUUUUGAUUCUUGUUUUUCCAACUCCCUUCUUCUGCGUUUUCAGGCAUUAAAGCUCUCCAACCAAGCCUUUUCCAAGUCACAAUUAGAGUUGGCCCGUUGUGAGGAUGAAUUAAGGAAACUCGUUUCUGAAUUAGACGAGCUUAAGGCCCUUUAUGCCCAAAAGGAGGGGGAGCUAGGUUACAUUUGAGCUUAUUUGGAGAGGAUAUCUCAAGAGCGGGCCAAUCUCGAUGAGUAGGUAAUACGACCUUCGUGGGCUUAUUUUUGCGCUUCAGUCAAUUGAGCGGUUGAUACCUUAAUUUGGCAUUUUUUGCUCAAGAAAAAAGAUGAUCUAGUGUGAGAGGAGCUUAGAGUCAGAGAUACCGAAAUCCUUGGGCUGAAGCAAUCAUGGAUGAGGUGUCUUCCGAUAAGGAAACUCUUCGAGAGAAGCUGACCUCGAUUGAGUGCCAACUUCAAGGGGCGAGGGGAGAAAGCCUCAAGUACAAAGAUCUCCAUUCUGAACUGGGUGCUGAGCUAUAUGCAGCUAAGUCAGAGGCCGCUGAGCUCAUGUCCUCCUACAGAAAAGAUGAUGCUACUGCAAAUGCUCAAGCCAGGAAGGUAUCCGAAGAAGCCGAGCUUAAACUAUCCCGAUCCUUGGAACAUGCCCGAUUAAGAUAUAGGAGACAGGCUCUUGAGGAUGUAUAUGUAGGGGGCAUCGAUUACCCUGCUAAGAUCGAGAGGGUGAACGCCCUAGAGGAAAAAUUGGAAGCUCUGCCAACUUCUGACGAUGGUUCAGCCAGCAGUUCGGCCAGCGGGUCUAAGGAAGAUGAAGGUGAAGAUGAAGUCCCCUAGGAGGAGGCUGGUGAUAUGCUGAGGGUCAAAAGUCAAGCCGUUGAAGGCACAACUUUUUAAGGGAGCUUUGUCCGAUCAAGUGACCUCGGUGGUAGAUUAGGUUUGUAUUCGUCCCCCACUUCUUUGUGUAUGAGCUCUAGGCAUGGGCCUUGUAAAUACGUCUUUUAUAAAUACAAGAAGUUCUUCAUUUUGCCUUUGAAUUAUAUUGAAUCUGAGUGUAUGACUCUAAUGAUCAGCCCUAGCACUAGACCCAGAACAUAAUAAACCCUUAGGUUUUUAAUUGGUUGAUGUGACACUUCUUAAAGUCCUUUGUUAUUCCUUGGACUAAGCUCUUGUUGUGAACUUAGGUCACCGAGUCUCGAUUUUUGAAGUAAAGCUAUCCCUUUUAGGCUUUGUUGAUAGUCCUCGAGUGAGAAUUUUCUCGAACUCGGGUGGACUUUGGGCUUGGCAACCGGGCGAGCGUUCGCUUGCCUAUUCGAAAACAAGGAUAGGUUUUAGAUUUUUACCAAUAGCCACCGAGUGAGGACUUACUCGAACUCGUGUAGCCUUUGGGCUCAAUAGUCUAGUGAGCGUUUGCUCGGACUUGAAGUAAAGAUAACCUUGAGGCUUUAUGAAUAGCCCCCGAGUGAGAACUGGCUCGAACUCGGGUAGCCCUUGGGUUAGUCAAUCAACCAUUUGCUCGAACUCGCAGUAAAGAUAGCCCUGAGGCUUUAUGAAUAGUCCCUGAUUGAGAGCUUGCUCGAACUUAGGUAGCCCUUGGGCUCUUAUGUAUUGGCCCUUAGGCUUUUUAGGCUAGCUCUUAGGCUCUUACGCGUUGGCCCUUAGGCUCUUUAGUCUGGCCGUUGGGAUCUUACACAUUGGCCCUUAGGAUUUUUAGGCUGGCCCUUAAGCUCUUAUGCGUUGGCCCUUAGGCUCUUUACGCUGGCCCUUGGGCUCUUACGCAUUAGCCCUUAAGCUUUUUAGGCUGGCCCUUAAGAUCUUAUGCGUUGGCCCUUAGGCUCUUUUUAGAUUUGCUCGAUGCGACCUCUAAUAUGGCUAUAGUUUUUCCCUCAUUUUGGCUAAAGACUUUUGAAGUUUUAAUUAUGCCUUGGCAUAUUUUAUGUUCGUCUGACUCUUCAAUGGCUCAAAUGAGAACCUCGAUUAUAAGUCGAUAUGUGACAAUAGUUGAGUACCUCGGGAGGCUCGAUAGAAGGUUGAGUUUUUGACACCUUUUCAUUGAAGGCUAACUAUUUUCGAAGCCUUUUUACUGUNNNNNNNNNNNNNNNNNNNNNNNNNNNNNNNNNNNNNNNNNNNNNNNNNNNNNNNNNNCCUUUUCAUUGAAGGCUUAAUUAUUUUCGUAAGCCUUUUUACUGUUCUGGAGCUGAUAUUUAUCGAAGCUGCUUUUACUUAUGCCGAGGGUAGCCUUGGUUAACCGGUUCUUUUCGAAGUACCUUCGAAGUAUUUGGAGGCCUUUAGCUUUAUGGCAGCUAUCGAACGUCUCCGAGCCACAUUAUUUCGGUCGGGGCCUCUUGAUCUGACCGUAAUAUUUUUGUUCGGCCGUAGACUUUAAUCCUCGGGUGCAGUGGCCUUGGCGUCCAUAUCGAGGGUAUGCCUUUUUAGGGGUUUUACAAGUUCAAAUAUAUUGCCUUGGCCUUCAUAUUGGGGUUAUGCCUUUUGAAGGUCUUAUAAAUUUGAGUAUGCCUCGUUGAGGUCUUAUAAGUUUGGGCAUGCCUUGUUGAGGUCUUAAGAUUCAAUGCGGACUCACUAAGGUCUUAGGAGCUCAUAAUUGCCUUAUUAAGGUCUUAAGAUUUCGAGUUUUCUAUGGCUUCGACGAGCUGACUGUCGAUGAAAGUCCCCGAGUGUUCGAGGAUUUUCUGCCCUUGAGCCGUUUUGCAUGAAAGUAUUGAAUUUCUUCGAGUGUUUUGAUAAGCAAAGAGGCUUCCUCAAUUAUUUGAUGUAUGUGUAGAUGUUUUUUGCCUUUGGAGGCCCAAUUAUUCUACAUGGACACGGUUCAUUCGACCGUUUGGCCCAAUACAUCAUUCUCCAAUCGGGGUCCUCCUAGGCAUAGUUUGAGUUCUUUGAAGAGGUGGCCUCACGGGGUGAUGCCCUCUAGUAUUUGAGGUAGAUUGAAGGUAAUCCUUGAAUACUUGACGAGUUCUCCUUAGGUAGCAUAUGGGUGUUGCCUCGUUAAAAACCUCGCUGGUAAAACCCGUUCGGGAUAAAAUCCAUUCUAAAGGAAAAAGAGCCCAAAGUAUGCUUUAAAACCCAAACUCUUCGAGCUGUAGGGCGCUUAGAUUCCUCUUAAUCGGACACCUAUAAUAAGUUAGUACAAAACAUAAAUGAAAAGGGAGAAGGUUGUACCUCAUCAUUGAUAGCUUUAGAGCUUUGAUCCGUUUUUUAUUGCUUGCUUUGAGGACGCGGCAUGGUCCUUCAUUUACUCAUUCGGGUGGAACCGAGAAUGUAGGUUGUGGUUGUUAUUUGUCUGUUUGCUUGUUUUUUGGCUUCUUCGAUGUAGAGGGCAUAGAUGUCAGCGCUACCUCGUGCAUCACAAACAUCUCUCUUGCUGUGUGCUGCUCCCUGUACACUAAUUUUACUGCAUCCUUGGUUGAAAACUUUAUUGUUUGAUGAAGUGUUGAGGGUACUGCCCUUAUACUGUGUAUCCACGACCUUCCAAGUAAGGAAUUGUAUCUCAUGUCACAUUCGAUGACAUGAAACUUGGUAUCUUGGAUUGUUCUGGCUACGUUGACUGGGAGGAUGAUUUCCCUUUUUAUUGUCUCGCUCGUCAUAUUGCAUCCAUUGAGGACUCGAGAGGCAGGUACGAUCUGGUCGAGCAGUCCGAGCUGCUCCACCACUCUCGACCUAAUUAUGCUAGUCGAGCUACCUGGAUCCAUGGGCACACGUUUAAUCAGAAUUUUAUUCAAAAGGAAAGAAAUUACCAGUGCAUCAUUAUGAGGCUGAGACAAGGUCUCGUUGUCCUCUUCGAUGAACAUGAGAGCAUCCUCUGGUAUGUAACUUCGAGUUCGCCUUUCCCUGGUGAUGGAUAUUUUUGUCCGUUUGAAAAUAGGUUCCUAUGGGGAGUCGUCCCUCCAACGAUCAUGUGGAUGACGUGUUGUGGUUCUUCUAGUUUGUUCUUUUUGUUCGCCUCUCUUUCCCGAAAUUGGUUUUUAGCUCGGUCACUAAGGAAUUCUCGAAGUUUCCUUUCGCUAAUCAGUCAGGCUAUCUCUUCUUGAAGUUGCCUGUAGUCCUCAGUCCUAUGAUCGUGAGUGCCAUGAUAUUUACACAUCAAGUUAGGGUUCCUCUAUGAAGGGUCUGAUAGUACGGGUUUUAACCACCUAGAAUCUUUGAUUAUCCCUAUGGCCGAUACGAUGCCCGAGAUAUCGAUGUUGAAGUUGUACUCAGAUAGUUGGGGUGCCUCUACCGUCCCAAUGUGCCUAUAGAACCUGGCUUUGCUCAUGAGUCCCCGGGAAUUUUGAUCUCGAUCUAUCCUUCGAUACCUCGAGACAUGUUACGCCUUGGUGCGUUUCUUCGAUCUUCUGCAUACGGCUGGUAUCUUUCUUUGUUUGAUCUUGGAUCCCUUUCUGUAAACCUUUGCUCCUUUGUAAAGAGCCUGUUGGGAUAUACUAAGCCCAAAGGGGCUCCUAGUUGGUCAUCUUUGACCCUAAUCUUUGAUUGAUACCUAUUGUGUACGGAUAUUCGAUCAAAUUUUGUUUUAACUGCCUUGAAGCUAUCGAGCUUCGUUCGUUCAAGCCUUGAGUGAAGGCCUGUACUGCCCAGUCAUCGGAGACUGGUGCUAAUUCCAUUCGCUCCAUCUGAAAAUGAGAUACGAAAUCCCUUAGCGUCUCAUUCUCUCUUUGUUUGAUUUUGAAGACAUCAGACUUCCUGGUAGCGACCUUGAUGGCACCAGCAUGUGCCCUCACAAAAGACUCUGCCAACAUGGCAAAAUAAGUCUAUUGAAUUUGGGGGCAGGUUAUGAUACCACAUCAUAGCCCCUUUCGACAGUGUUUCUCCAAAUUUCUUCAACAGGACAGACUCUAUCUCGUCAUCCUUUAAGUCAUUUCCUUUUACAACACAAGUAUAAGUUGUGAUGCGCUCAUUGGUGUCUGUGGUCCCGUUAUACUUCAGGAUAUCGGGCAUUCUGAAUUUCUUUAGGAUGUGCUUUGGAGCUGCACUUGAUGGGAAUGGCCUCUGCACAAAUUUUUUUGAAUUUAUACCCUUCAGGAUCGGGGGCGCGCACGGGAUCUAAUCGACCCUCGAGUUAUAAGUCUCCACCCUUUUUAUCGUUAUCUUCUAUCUUCUUUUCUCCUGAUUCAAUUCUUUUGGUGAGAUCCUUGAGCAUCUUCGUAAUAGUAGGGUUUGUUGCAGACCCGUUAUUAAUCUCUCCGGUACCUGCUCGACUCGAGGAGCAGUUUCUGGUGCUACUGUGCUUGGGGUUUUUUGGUGGCUUUGUAGCUGAGCAAUAGCCACUUGUUGUGCUUGCAACAUUUCAAAAAUGACUUGAAAACUAAUGUCUCUUUCCUCACCGCGCACACUUAGAGAGCUUACAUCAACAUGUACCACGUACCGCGAACUCACGUCGAUGGGGAUUUGUGCUAGUGCCUCCCCUAGGUUUUGCGAUGGUAAACCGGCAUCUGCUGGUGCUACCCCUGGGUUUUGCAGUGGUAAACCGACAUCUGCAUCAUUCUCUCCUUGAAGCCCAAUACCGUUGUUUUCACGUGCAUUUGCUGAGUUAGACAUUUUUGACCUAAAAUUAGAAAUUCUUGGACAAGAAAAAGUGUGAAGAAUAACUUGUGUUUUCAGAAAACUAGCACCAAAACAAUCACUAUUAUUCUUAGCCCCAUGGUGGGCGCCAAACUAUUUACCUUGAAAAUGGUAACUACAAUUAUAUUUGAUUUUAUGGUUCUAAAAAUAUGUGAUUUAUCUUAAUACUAGUUGUUAAGUAAUAGAUGAUAGGUGUAAGUAAAGAAAAUAAGAAAUGCAAACUAAUAGGAUCACAAGGCAGGGCCUCGAACUGGCUGGAGUAGAGUCUCGAGGUCUAGAUGGGGCUAAUAGCGAUGAACAAUUGAUGAAGAAUAAAUGAUAAUGAGGGCCUCAAGGAUGGCCGUUUGCGGUUAAUAAUGAGCAAUAAAUGAAGAACAAUGAAUGAACAAUGAAAGAAUAUGCAAUAAAUGUGAAGAACAAUUGUGUUAGCAAAGAGCAGAGAAUGUUGUAUUAUAUUCAAUAUAUUGUGUAAUAAUCGAAUCCUUUUACAAGAUGACAAGGGUCCCCUUUAUAUAGGAUGAGGAAUCCCAACAUAGUACAUGUCUAAUAAUAACGAAGAAAUGCUACUAAUACAGCUGUAUAACGGCUCAGUAUGGAUUUGCACUAUUCUUGCAGACUCUGUUAGUCCUCAUCGUGUGCCCUCGGGGGUUUCCUAACUUUCCAUAUCAGACAUCUAUUUUUGUACUACCUCGAGGUACACCAUGAUGAGUCUUUGAUGUACCCUGUCGAGGCGAGUGCUUCGAGGAUGGGUCGUGGAUCGUGCUUUGAUCCCAACGAGGCCGAGCUUGAACUGCCACAAAAGUCUCAAAUCAAUCUUCCCUGAUUUUGACUAUAUACAAUGAGGCCUUCUCGACUUUGAAAUCAUCUGCGAUUGAGCAAUCCCUGGGUAUAAAGCUUUUCAUGGGGGGCUCGGGGGUAGCCUCGAGAGUAGCUGCCUCGAGAGCAGCCACCUCGGGAGCAGCCACCUCGGCAUUUAUGGCCAGGUGGUAAGAUGAAGAGGCAGCCUGCUGAGGAACUGAUUUGGAAGUUCUAGCCAUUACUAUUUGAGAAAAUUUGAAAAUUUAAAGGAAAAGUAUGAAGAUUUGAAGGAACAAGUUUGAAGGCUGAAGAAAAGAGUAUGAAGAUUUGAAGGAUGAAGAUCUGUGUAGGAAUCUAAGAACAAUUAUGAAGAUUUGAUGAUCAAAGUUGAAGAUAUAAAGGUUAGAAAGAGUUGGUAAUCACUGGAAAAUUCAAAAGUGGAAGCUUGGAUCGUAAAGUAGAAAGAGUAAAAAGGGUAGAAGCUUUUAUAGGGGAAGUACGCGACGUUUCGUAUUAGAAGGCAACCAGCCAAUGAACGACAGGUGUACGAAAUCAAAACGACGCGAAUAAUGAGAUGUUUCGGCCUAUCCUUCAUCUUAGUUGUGACAUGCGAGGGAAGGAACCAGGGUUCAUCUAUCAUCUCCUAUCAUUUCGGAAAACCUAUUAUUUGGAAAACGAGGGGACUAUCUGUGUAUAAGUUAAACUGAGGGUAACUGUUUACCGUGAAAAUGGUAACAACAAUUAAAUUUGUAAAUGGGAUUCUAAAAAUAUGUGAUCUAUUUUUAUGCUAGUUGUUAGAGCAGAUGAUGCUAGGAAUAUGAAGUUUAAUGAUGAAAUACAAGCUAAAACGAGGCAGUAAUCCAACCUAGAGGCCUGCUUCCCGGGUAUAGGACUGGUCGCUGGGGGACCUCGGGGUCGAUAUCCGGGUCGAGCUCGAGCUAUCGGGGAUAGUCGGGAAUGGGAUAACAGUUAGGUUAUGAUCAAACAAAGCUCUAUAUUGUCAAGGUUAUGAGAUAAAUAAAGAACAAGUAAGAAAGCGAUAAAUGCUAAAGUGGCCUCAAGCCAGGGAGAGCAAGCGAGUUAGAGAGAAGAGAGAGAAAGAUAUUAUUGAUCUUAUGGAGAAAUAGUUGGACCAACAUCGGCCAGGGGCUUACAAAGUGAUGGGGACCCCCUUUAUAUAUGAGGGGAAUCCGUCAUAAUACAAAACGUGUUAACCGUAAAGGUACGAGAUGGGAUGGCUAAACAUGAUAUCUUGAAAAUAGUCCCCGGAUAGACCAGCCUUGUUAGGUCAAGACGCGUGCCUUGGGGACUCCCCCCUUGCCUGUUGUAGCCCGAUGUAUUUGUCAGAAUGCGAUGCCCUUCGAACCGAUAUCUGUCGAACCCCGAGGAUGUGUCUCGACCUUGGCUUCGAUCUUCGAGGGGCAUGACCACGAACGGCCUUAUGAUGGGGCAAUCUGGUCCCCCGAAUUCGCCGUCGACAAAUAGUCUCCACGUUUCUUAGAGUGAAGGCGACAAGAAACGAUAAGAAAUGGUUCUGAAAUCCUGCUUCCUCUGGUGUCCUUGUGAACGAUUACGAGAUAUCGAGGUACACUAUGUGCACCGUUCCUGCAGAUUUCAGCAUUGACUGCGGCGAUUGGCUUCCUUCAAUGUACCCAUGGCACUUUUAUAAAUGCUCACCUCUUCCUUUCUAGAUUCCAUAUCAUGUUCAAAAACCCUUAGUGAGGUCUAUUUUCCCUCGUUCUCGCUUUCCUUUAGGAACGCAACCCCCCUUUUCUUCUACCCUCAGAUUUUCUCAAGGAUGAUGAAUAUUUCUACUUCUGCAUCCCAAGAGGUUGGGGGCUCAUCUUCUUCGUUUUUCUCUCAAGUCAAAGUAGACACUCCCCCCGUGCCGAGGAGUGCGACCCGGGACCCUUUGUGAUGACCUCCGAUUUUAGGGUCGAGAGACCCUCCUCGAAGUCAGGACACCGCGAGCCUGUAACUCGAUAUAUUAGCUCUAUAAUGGAUAUUGAAAGAGUAAAGCCUGACUGUUGCUGGGGAAAUACCGUGCUCGUGGAGAUUCCCACUCGGGAUGAAGAUAUUACGGCUCAUAGGGCCGGCUUUCUGAGUGUGUACACCUACCCAUUCACUAUGGGGCCAGUGGGGCCAUCCUCGACCCCUAUUGACCCUGUGAUUCUCAACUUCUGUCGGAGUUACCAGGUAACUUUGGGUCAAGUUCAUCCUUUGUUAUGGCGUGUGGUUCAUAUGAUCAGGCAUUACUCGAGCAUGGAAGAGGGAAUGCUCUUCACCCUGAACCAUUUGAUCUGGAUGUAUAGUCCUUGUCUCCCUUACGGGGGCUUAAUCAAGCUUCGUUGUCGAGCCCCGAGAUCCCUUUUUGCCUCCACUAAGGAGUUCGGGGACGACAGGUGGUUAAGCCGAUUCGUCCGAGUGAGGACGUCUGACCUGAUCCUAGUGGAAAAGAUGUCGUUCCUUGAGAAUUGGAACAUCGGGCGUACGUAAACGUGGUGUCUUUGCCCCUUCUUGUUGAUUUCUCCUUGUGCAUCUAACUUUGCUUUUCUUGUCUUUUUAGCCGUAGCAAUCUAUCCUGGCGCCUUGUCGUAUCUCUAGGGUUGGGUUGUUCGUUUGUACUCAACCUGCCUGUAUACCGAUCGAGCAUGGCGGGAUUUAUCCCGAGCCCGGUGGGAAGCCAAAGACCAUGGUGAGCCUUGAGCCUUGAUGCAUCCGUGCAUUUUGACAUUGCUAGUUGUUAGUAGCUUUCUUCGUCCCGUGCAUUUAACCUCUGCAUCUAUGUAGGUCUAGGAGGAAUCCCGCUGACGAGGGAGGUGCCGUCCGUUGGAGAGGACGCUCUGAUGCUUCACGAGGAGAAGAAAAUGCAGGAGAGCCUAUCGGCUGAGCCACCGGAGCUCAAGAGGAUCAAGGUGGAGGAUUCUAAGGUUGACCCAUCGGUUCCGACCUCCGGGGGCGACGGGAAAUCCUUGUGCUGAAGGUGAGGGAGAAAGCGGUUUCUUGGCACCCCCCCGGAAGAGUGUUUGGGAUCGAUUGAUCCUCGGGUCGUGGGGACAGAUGCUUCCGGACAGGAGUCUGAUGGUGGCGCGGCCCACCUUUAUGGCGGUGAGGCAAUGGAUGGGGUAUCGAGCACUGCCCUUGAAUUGGCAGGUGGCCGGAGUCCUCCUCGAGCCGGGACGCCCUUGGCAGGCAGUUUGGAGGGGCCUCGAUUUAGGACCCGAGAUGAACAAAGGACGGAUAUUUUGGCUGACCCCGUUAGCCCAUUGGUUAUUGUUGAUUCUCCUAAGAGGGAGAUCCUUCCAUCUCACGAAAUGCUAGACGAGUCUCGCAAGGAGCCUUCCGCGGUAGGAGCACUGAUCAAAGGUAGGGACGCACUCGAGAGGCCAGCGAUCAUUUUUGAGGAUAGUUCUGAGGCCAACGCCUCAUUCAUUUUUGGCGAGAUGGGAAAGCUUUGUGAGCGGGUAAAUUCUGCUAGCCUUGUCUACUGCUUCGGGCUGCUCCGACCUUUAUUCUCCUGACUUUUUUAUGCGGUUUCAGGCCGAAGCACUUUAUAACCAGGCUCUUGCCCAGUAUCAGGAUGAGGUGGGCCGUCAUGAAUGUGAGAAAGCCUAUUUCACCGAACAAGUUAUUCAUCCCCUGUUUUUACUAUUAUUUGAGCCCAUGUGAAAUUCCAUUUCUUUUAACCUUUCGGGACUCGAUUUGUGCAGUUUGAGAAGGACAAUGCCCUACUAAAAAGGGAGCUUCGGGACAGAGAUGCUGAAGUCUCCGAGCUUAGUCGGCAUGUGAGUGAGGUGGUUUCCGAGAGGGACAGCCUUAGAGGGAGAGUAAUCUUGAUCGAGCAUCAGCUAUAGGACGCGAAGAAGGAUAGUGGAAAGUAUAAGGGCCUCCAUUCCGAGCUGGUGGCUGCAUUGUUUCGGAUCAAACCCGAGGCCGAGACGCUUUUAUCUUUGCAUGGGGGAGGAGCGGUCGUCACAGAUUCCUGUGUUGAGAGAAUGUUCGAGGGGGCUGGCCCAACUUUACCUCGAGCCGCGGAUUGUACUUGGCCGGGCUCCCAAAGGCUGACCAUCGAGGGCGCAUUGGGAGGCAGCUCGAACGGUGUUAAAAAUGGGGGUGGAUCCCUAGAGAGAGGAGACGUCGUCAAGAAGGGGCCGUUAGGGGACUCGUAAUCGCCUGGAUGCAACCUUUGAGGCUGUCGGUUUGGCAAUAGAUUAGGACUUGUUAUUUUUUCCUGUUGAUCUCCCGGUUUGUAUAUAGUACUUUUAUUUUGGCAUAUGUAUGAAGAGAAUCAUGUGGCUUCGUUUCCCUUAUUCUCCUUUCUGCUCUAAAUCCAGCAAGGAUUGGCAAAAGAACCUUAGACCUGUAAUAUAGCUCUGUGGCCCGUUUAGGCUAGUUUGGGAGGCGUCAUGCAGCUGGUCGAUGUGGCCUCUAGUGUGAACUGCCAUGAGGGGCCUUGCACUUUCGCCCAUCCAUUUUGUGUUAAGUUUCCGGGCCAAGUUUGUCUCGAACCUUAUUGAUUUCUGCUCUCCUCUAUGCUUGGGUGAUGAUGGUUAUUAUCCUUUGCCCUUGGGCAUUUGUAUUUGGCUUGUUUUUGGGUUCAGUCUCCGAGUCGUGUUGCAACUCGAGCUUUAAUUGACCCUCAAGCUUUUUUGCCUGCAUGGGCGGAUGACGAUGGCUCUUGCGCCUUGGGUCGAAACGACAUUUUGAGUGUGUGGCCCCGAGGCUCGUUUGGGCUGGCAGCAAUGGCACUUACGCUGCCCUUAGUCAUGUUGUAGUUUAACUAUUUUGGAUCCGGUCUCCAAAUCGGAUUAUGACUCGAGCUCAUUUUAAUCCUCAGGUUUUCAAUUUCUACGCUGGCGACAGUGGCUCUUACGUGAUUUUGGUCGUUGAGACGUUUUAGUGUGCGACCCGGAGACUUAUUUGGCUGGCGACAAUAGUUUUUACGCUUUUGCCCGUAGGCAUUUUGUAGGCUUUGUAUUCCUCUUAUUAAGGUCUUUUUUGAAAUAAUUUUGCCUGACCCCUCGUCGGUUCGGGAAGAACCUCGAUUUCAAGUCGUUAGCGGUGAUGUUUGAGCACCUCAGAAGGUAUUUAGCUCAUAGGCCGAGUAGAUCGAAGCCUUGUGAUUUGGAGCUGACAUGGCCGAAGCUCGUUUGCUUGUUGAGGGAAGCCUGUUUUAACCGUUUUUUUCCGAAGUAUAUUCGAAGUAAUGGCAUGCGAUUUUGUUUAGCGACGGUCAGGCAUCCCGGAGUCGCGUUAAUUUGGCUAGAUCAACCAUUUUGACCGUAGUCAUAUGUGUUUGGCCGGAGGUAUUAUGAUCCCUAGUGAUAGUUUAGGCGUCUACACCGAGGGUAUGCCCUUUCAGGAUUCUUACAAAUGUGACGUAUAGCCUAAACGUCGGGAUUUUGAGUUUUAUGCCUGUAGUAAGGUCUUACAAAAUUUUCAUGCCUGUUGAGGUCUUACAGUUUGUCAUACCUGUUGAGGUCUUACAGUUUUUGUUGCUAUGUAGAAUAGAUCUGGUUACGCCGAGUCUACCCACUCGGGGUCUUACAGUUUUGGGUUUUCCAGUGCAUGCGAUUGAUGAUAGUCUCCGAGUCAUUGAGUUUUCUUAGGCUCGAAGGCCGCUAUUCGUGAGCUCGGAGUUGCCUUGUUGUGGCCUUAUGAGCCCAAAGUUUCGACCCUGGGGUCAUGCGGGUGUCAAAUUAUUGACGCUAAGUCUCUGAGUAUUUCGGGACGUAUUUGAUGAAGGGAUCCCUGUCGAGAGUAUACUGAGAUUUCUUUUGUUGGAGUUUGAGAUGCUAAAAGAUUGUCUUUUAUUGCUUGGCAUAAAUACAUGCUGCUUCGUUGUUGUGAUCCCGGCUCACGCGGGCGCGGCUCCUUGGACCGUUUGAUCCGGUACAUUGUUUUCUAUUGGAGCCUCGUUCGUCAUUUUCCUGGGGAAGGGCUGAUUGCAAAGGAAGUCUUGUAGGCUCUUUGAAUAUUUCUUGGGAAGUGCGUGGACAUUGCCUUAUUAAAAACCUUGCCGACAAAAACUCGUUUCGGGAUAAAAAAACCUGGUCGAAGUAAAAGAGUGCGACAUUUGCUCGAGGAUAUUUGUGGGGUUUUACAAACGGAUGCCCUAGCAGUAAUACCUCUUAAGCAUCGAUACAUUCCAGUUACUCGGAAGCUGCUCGCCCUCCAUGGUGCCAAGCUUAUAGGAUCAUUUGCCAACUAUCCCAAGGAUACGGUACGGCCCCUUCCAAUUCUGGCCCAGCUUCCCUUCAUUAGGGUUUCGGGUGUUGAGAGUAAUCUUCCUUAGGACCAAGUCUCCGAUCCCGAAGUAUUGGAGAUUUGUUCUUUUGUUGUAGUAUCUUUCGAUUUUCUACUUUUGGGCAGCCAUCCGAACCAGCGAGGCUUCCCGUCUUUUGUCGAGCAGCUCGAGGGCCGUUGUCAUGGCUUCGUUGUUCGAUCCCUCAUUGGUGUGUCGGAAUCUGACGUUUGGUUCCCCGACCUCCACUGGUAUCAGUGCUUCGGUGCCACAUACUAAAGAUAAGGGUGUCUCCCUAGUGCUUGAUUUUGGAGUUGUCCGAUAUGCCCACAGCACCUCGGGCAGCGUUUCUCUCCAUUUUCCCUUGGCGCUCUCCAAUUUCGUUUUCAAGUUUUGAAUGAUGGUUUUAUUUGUAGAUUCGUCCUGGGCGUUCACACACGGGUGGUAUGGCGUCGACAGGAUUCUUUUGAUUUUGUUGUCUUCAAGGAACUGGGUUACCUUACUCCCGAUGAAUUGCCUCCCGUUGUCGUAUGUUAUUUCGGACUGGAUCCCGAACCGGUAUAUGAUGUGUUCCCAUAUAAAGUUGAUGACUUCCUUAUCUCUUAUUUUCUCAAAGGCCUGCGCUUCCACCCAUUUUGAGAAGUGAUCAGUCAUAAACAGAAUGAAUCUAGCCUUACCUGGUGCCGUCGGCAAAGGGCCGACGAUGUCCAUUCCCCAUUUCAUGAAUAGCCAUGGUGAUAAAACGGAAUGCAGUUGUUCGCCGGGCUGGUGGAUCAUGGGGGCAAAUCUCUGACACUUGUCGCAUUUUCGGACGAAUUCCCUGGCAUCCUUUUCCAUGUUGUCCCAAUAGUAGCCCGCUUUGAUCACCUUUUGGACUAAGGAGUCGACCCAGAGUGAUUUCUGCAGGUGCCCUCAUGGAUCUCUCAGAGCACAUAAUCAUUGUUGCCCGGUCCCAAGCAUAUCGCUAGGGGGCCAUCAAAAGUUCUCCUGUAUAGAACCCCAUUUUUGUCGAGCGAGAACCGGGCCGCCUUGGUUCGCAUGGCCCUCAAUUCUUUUGGAUCUGCAAGUAGCUUCCCGUCCUUCAGAUAAAUGAUGUAUUUGUUUCUCCAAUCCCAUGUCAGGCUGGUGGAGUUAAUUUCUGCGUGACCUUCCUCGACCAUAUAUUUGAAUAGUUGGACGACAGCUCCAAGGAGCAAGUCUUCUUCUUAUUCAGCGGAGGAUCCCAGGGUUGUGAGGGCAUCGGCCUCGCUGUUCUGCUCUCGGGGUACAUAGACUAAGGUCCAUUCUUUGAAGCGAUAUAAUGUGAUUUGAAUUUUGUCCAAGUACCUUUGCAUCAUGUCCUCUCAGGCUUCGUAGCUUCCGUUCACUUGGCUAACUACGAGGAGCGAAUCGCAUUUUGCCUCGAUAGUCUCGGCUCCCAAACUUUUAGCCAACUCUAAACCUGCAAUCAUAGCCUCAUACUCGGCUUCAUUAUUAGUUAGCUUUGUGGUUUUUAUGGAUUGCCUGAUUAUGCCGCCGACGAGCGGCUUUAGGACUAUAUCGAGUCCGGAUCCUCUUAUGUUUGUGGCACCAUCUGUGAACAGGGUCCAUACCCCGGAGGACGUGCUUGAUUUUAAUAAAAGUUCCUUCUCUACCUCGGGCACGAGGGAUGGCGAGAAAUCAGCUACGAAAUCUGCCAGUAUUUGGGACUUGAUGGCCGUUCGAGGUUGAUAAUCGAUAUCAUACACCCCGAGUUCAAUGGCCCAUUUGGCCAGUCGACCCGAUAACUCAGGUUUAUGCAGUACACUCCGGAGGGGAUAAAUCGACAGGACACAGAUACGGUGGCACUAAAAGUAAGGCUUCAGCUUGCGCGAAACGCUUGUCAGUGCGAGAGCCAAUUUUUCUAGAUGAAGGUAUCGAGUUUCAGCGUCCCCCAAGGUUCGUCUUACAUAAUAAAUAGGAAAUUGCGUACCUUGCUCUUCUCGAACCAGUAUGCCGCUUACCGCUAUUUCAGACAUGGACAGGUACAGGUAUAACAUUUCAUCCUUCUUGGGUGUGUGCAACAAAGACGGGCUAGACAAGUACCGUUUCAGUUCUUCUAGGGCGUGUUGGCAUUCUGGAGUCCAUUCGAAGUUGUUCUUUCUUUUGAUUAGGGCAAAUAAAUGGUGGCUUUUGUCUGAUGAUCUUGAUAUGAAUCUGCCCAGGACCACGAUCUGCCCUGUCAGCCAUUGGACGGCUUUUACGUUGUUCACCACUGUGAUCUCUUCGAUGGCCUUUAUUUUGUCGGGGUUGAUCUCAAUCCCCCUGUUUGAAAUCAUGAAGCCCAGGAAUUUGCCCGACCCUACUCCGAAGGCACACUUCUUAAGAUUGAACUUCAUGUUGUAACUUCUGAGGAUGUUGAAAGUUUCCUGCAAAUGGGUCAGAUGGUCCUCUGCACGCAUGGAUUUGUCUAGCAUAUCAUCAAUAUAUACCUCCAUUAAUUUACCUACUUGAUGCUCGAACAUUUUAUUAAGUAGGCGCUAAUAUGUUGCUCCAGCAUUUUUUAGCCUGAAUGGCAUUAUGUUAUAGCAAUAUAUACCAUAUUUUGUGAUGAAUGAGGUCUUUUCCCUGUCCUCGGGGUCCAUUUGGAUUAGAUUGUACCCUGAGUAGGCAUCGAGGAAAGUGAGAGUCUCAUGGUCGGCCGUAGCAUCGAUCAGACGGUAUUAGGCAACGGGAAGGAAUCUUUGGGGCAUGAUUUAUUCAAAUCUUUGUAAUAUACGCACAUUCUUAGGUUGUUCCCUUUUUUUGGCACUACCACUAUGUUAGCUAGCCAUUCAGGAUACUUUACCUCCCUAAUGGAUCCGAUUUUAAGGAGUUUCGCUAGCUCCUCUUUGAUGAAGGCAUGUUUUACCUCGGACUGUGGUUUUCUCUUUUGCUUCACGGGUUUGAAUUUGGGAUCAACGCUUAGCUUGUGGGAGGUUAUUUUCGGUGGGAUACCUGUCAUAUCUAGGUGGGACCAGGCGAAACAGUCGAUAUUGUUACUAAGAAAUUGAAUAAGCCAUGUCCUGAGUUCAGGGGUCAGCCCCGUUCCUAGGUAUGCCUUGUGAUCCGGGAGGUGCUCGAUCAAAACGGUUUGCUCCAGCUCUUCGACUAUUGACUUGGUCGCAUCCGAUUCCUCGGGGGCAACGAAGGUUCGGGGGGCGAAGAAGUCUUCCUCGUCGUCUUCAAGGGUCUGCACGCUUCCCUCCUCGUCUGAGACCGGGCAUGUGGGGGUUGGCAUCUCGUGGUGGACCGCGAACAUUUCCCUCGCUACCUGUUGCUCUCCACAUAUAGUCGUGAUGCCAUCCCUCGUGGGAAACCUUAUCACCUGGUGCAAGGUCGAGCGCACUGCCCUUAUGUUGUGUAUCCAAGGCCUGCCAAGUAAGGCGUUGUAUCUCAUGUCGCCGUCGAUGAUCUGAAACUCGGUGUUUUGGAUUGUGCUAGACGUGUCGAUCAGGAGGGUGAUCUCUCCUUUCGUUUCUUCUCCGAUCAUGUUGAAGCCGUGGAGGAUUCGAGGGGUGGGAACAACUUGAUUGAGCAGCCCUAGCUAUUAUACUACUUCUGACCUGAUUAUGUUGGCCGAGCUACCUGGAUCCACGAGCACGCGCUUGAUCCUGGUGUUGCUUAAGAGAAACGAAAUUAUUAGUGUGUCAUUGCGCGGUUGCAUCAUAGCCUCGAGAUCCUCUUCGCUGAAUAUGAGGGUUUCUUCGGGUAAGUAUUUUCAGGUCGGUCCCUCUUUCGUAGCGGACAUUCUCGUUCGUUUUGACAUGGGCCCUCGGGGAACGUUGGUUCCCCCAAUAAUCAUGUGGACAUUAUGUUGGAGAACCUUCCCUUCCGUCCGGGUUGAACCUUCCCUAGGGCAGUCGUGCCCUUUUUUAUGUCGCUUUUGAGGUUCUGGUUUCCCAUUUAACUAGCCGAGCCAGGCGCUCUGUCUUGAAAGCGAAGAUCUUGGGCAAGAAAAAGUGUGAAAGAUAACUUGCGUUUUUGCAAUGAAACUAGCAAGAAAAUAAUCACUAUUAUUUUUAGCCCCACGGUGGGCGCCAAACUGUUUACUGUGAAAGUGGUAACAACAAUUAAAUUUGUAAAUAGGAUUCUAACAAUAUGUGAUCUUUUUUUAUGCUAGUUGUUAGAGCAGAUGAUGCUAGGAAUAUGAAGUUUAAUGAUGAAAUGCAAGCUAAAACGAGGCAGUAAUCAAACCGAGAGGCCUGCUGCCCGGGUAUAGGACUGGUCGCUGGGGGACUUCGGGGUCGAUAUCCGGGUCGAGCUCGAGCUAUCGGGGAUAGUCGGGAAUGCGAUAACAGUUAGGUUAUGAUCAAACAAAGCUCUAUAUGGCCAAGGCUAAGCGAUAAAUAAAGAACAAGUAAGAAAGGGAUAAAUGCUAAAGUGGCAUCGAGCCAGUGAGAGCAAGCGAGUUAGAGAGAAGAGAGAGAGAUAUUAUUGAUCUUGUGGAGAAAUAGUUGGAGCAACAUCAGCCGGGGGGUUACAAAGUGAUGGGGACCCCCUUUAUAUAGGAGGGGAAUCCGUUAUAAUACAAAACGUGUUAACCGUGAAGGUACAGAGAUGGGAUGGCUAGACGUGAUAUCUUGAAAAUAGGCCCCGAAUAGGCCAGCCUUAUCAGGUCAAGCCGCGUGCCUUGCCCCCCUCGCCUGCUGUAGCCCGCUGUAUUUGUCAGAAUGCGAUGCUCUUUGGACCAAUAUCUGUCGAACCCCGAGGAUGAGUCUCGACUUUGGCUUCGAUCUUUGAGGAGCAUGACCGCGAGAUGGCCUUAUGAUGGAGAAAUCGGGCCCCCGGAUUUGCCAUAUACAGUAACAUACCCCGAUUUCCCGGUGGGUCAAAUAGAGCCAGGACGUGACCGCAUGGGAUUGGAUUCGGAGCUGGAGACCUCUCGUACUGAUGCCCAAACGGAGUGCCCGAUAAGACAACACUUCCUCGAACCCGGAAUGAGUUCCGAGACCUUAGAAAACACGACAACGGUAGCACACGACUAACAGAGGGAUGCGGUAUCCGCACCCCACUAGAUAUCACAACACAGAUCUUGGCCUAUAUCGGCAGCAGAUCAUUGAUUAACGAAAAAGAAGAUAUUUACCUUUCUUAGAAUUGUACUAGGAGUGAAACUCUCCUACUAUAUAAAGGGGGUAGUUUUUAUUCAAUUGGGAGACACUGUAACCUGCAUAUCAAGACAAUACAAACUUGUUUAUCUGCUUUCUAGUUAUUGAAAGGUUCUUAUUUUAGUCAUAGCUCUUCAUGCACGUUUGGCUCCGAAUCGAUGGCAAAGCAAUUGAUAUGCUUAGAUCCGAGCCUGGACUCAACGUCACAAUUGGUUUGGUUAUUCAUUUUUAUCUUUAAUUCAUUUAUCUAACAUUCUUAAUUAUUUGUGUUGAAUCAAUCAACAUAUCUUUACAAUCGCGUAUAAAUUUAUUUGUUAUUCAUUUUAAGAGUAAACACAUGUAAUGCUCCAUACAUAAAAAUUAGAGUAGAAUAUAAUUAUUGCGGAAGAAUUAGAAUAAGAUACAAGUAGGGGAAUUAUCGAAGUGAAAAACGCAGGCCUAGAAGUGAAGGAGUUUCGUUUGACCGCAUCUUAGAAGACCGCGAAGGCAAUGCCUGUUCUUGAGGGUUGGCCGCGUGCCACACGCUUGUCCUUCCAAUUUCCCAAAUAUUAUUCUCUUCUCCCAAUUCCUCUUUCUUUAACCCUUUUUUUUAUUUAAUUUAUUACAUCUGCUUUAAAUUUUGAACUGUCAGUAGUAAUACUUGUUAAAUGUGAUACAAUUAGUAUUUAGAAAUUUUCAGAUUUGUUCUUUCAAUGGCAAUUGUGUUUACGUAGAUGUUGUCUUUCCUUUUCUCGAAGUUGUCUUAUUCACAAUAUUUUAGUCCGUCAUUUGAGUAGAACUUUUACAUGCAUUCUGCCAUUAUUUUAAAACAAGAGGAACAAAAGCUUAGUAAUAUGUUUUUUUUCAAUGUUUAGUUAUUUAUGUUUUAAUUUUAAAACAGUCAUUCUCAGAAAAUGAAAGUAGUAGAAAUGAGAAUGCUGAAAAGGAUGUGUGGGCAUACAAGAUUAGAUAAGAUAAGGAAUGCUGAUAUUCAGAAAAAUAUGGUAAUGGCACCCGUAAAGGACAAAAUGAGGGAAGCUAUAUUGAAAUGGUACGAGCAUGUGAAGAAGAGGUGCAUAGAUGCCCCAGUGAGGAGAUGUGAGAUGUUGGCAACGGGAGGCUGAGGAGAGGUAGAGAGCGGCAUAAGAAGUAUUGGGGAGAGGUGAUUCGGCAUGACAUUGUGCUUUUUCCGUUUACUAAGGAUAUGACACUUAAUAAGAAGGUAUAGAGGUUGAGAAUAUGUGAAGAAGGGUAGUGGUUAAGCGGACAUGUCUUAUUUUCAUGUCGGUAUCAUUAGUGUUAGUCUCGUAUUUUUAUUUUUUCGUAUUUGUAUAUUUCUAUUACUAUAUAUCGUUUCUUUCGUUUCAGUUAUUAUAUCAGCUUCGCUUACUGUGGUUACUAUUUGUUGUUUCUGCUGCUUUUUAGUUUUUUUCUCAUUAGCCGGGGGUUUAUGGGGAACAGCCUCUCUACCUUCGUAAGGUAGGGGUACGGGUCUGCGUCUACUCUAGACUCCCCAGACCUCACUUUGUAGGAUUUUACUGGGUUUGUUGUUAUUGUUGUUGUUUUAUUUUUAACGAUCAUCUGUCACUACUAUAAAUUUGGCAAAAACCGACCAACUUUGGUCGCUUUUUCAAAAUAUUUUUAUUUUUUAUUUUUUUACGGAACCGACCAACUUUGAUCGGUUUUCUUUGGCGCAAAAAUGCGAAAAAUUAUUUUUGAGUCCCGCAAAAUUUAUUUUUCAAGAAACCGACCAAAUUUGAUCGAUUUUUACAAUUAAAAUAAAUAAAAAUUAAUAUUAAAAAAAACAACCAAAUUUGAUCGGUAAAUUCGGCCGGUCAUUUUAAAAAACCGACCAACUUUGGUCGGUAAUUUUAUCUUUUAAUAAAAUCGACCAACUUUGGUCGGAUAUUUUUGUGCGAAAAUACAAUUAAAGAGUAUAAAUAAAAAAAUAAGACAAUCUUAAAACAAAAUGCACCAAUAGUCUAGUGCUAGAAUAGUAUCCUGCCACAGUACACACCCAGAUUCGAUUCCCAGAUGGUGAAUCUUUUGAUUACAUAAUUAAAAUACCGACCAACUUUGGCCGGUUUUUUUUUGCAAUAAUAUUUUUUUGAAUUUAAUUGACCGACCAACGUUGGUCUGUAAUUUCUGACUAACUUUGGUCGGAAUAUUAAAAUGACCAUCAAAAUACCGUCCAAGUGUAUUUGGUCGCAUUUUGGUCGGUAAUUGGCCAUAAUCGACCAAAGUUAGUCGGGUUUUUUAGUCGGUAUUUACCGAAUUUCUAGUAGUGUAUAUAUAAAUAUAAAGCUGAGAAUGGAAAAAAUAAUGUGACAUACUUCUCUCACCAGUAUUGUAUAGGGUAAAAUAUGUUCGUAAUAAAUGUUCGUAUGAGAAAAUGACACGUGGAGCCGAACACAGAAGACAUUCAGAUCUGAAGGCAACGAUUUCAAAAAGAAUGAUAUUCAUAAAGGCGACUAAAUAUCGGCCACUCGGUAGCAUUUAAUGAAGAAUAUGAAAAACUUUGAAAAAUAAUUUAGAUAAUAAAUUAAUAUAUUAGAUAUAUAUUUUACAGAUACGUUAUUAUUUUCAAAAAAUAAUAAAUUCUCCGAAAAUUUAUUUUCAUUUCUAAGAAAUGAACAACCUACAAUUAAUUAAGGAAUACUUAUCAACAAGAUUUGCUCAUUUAUAGGACUUGUAACAUGUAUGGUGCUUGAAGUAUUGAAAUUACACCCAUGGAUAUUAUCAAAANNNNNNNNNNNNNNNNNNNNNNNNNNNNNNNNNNNNNNNNNNNNNNNNNNNNNNNNNNNNNNNNNNNNNNNNNNNNNNNNNNNNNNNNNNNNNNNNNNNNNNNNNNNNNNNNNNNNNNNNNNNNNNNNNNNNNNNNNNNNNNNNNNNNNNNNNNNNNNNNNNNNNNNNNNNNNNNNNNNNNNNNNNNNNNNNNNNNNNNNNNNNNNNNNNNNNNNNNNNNNNNNNNNNNNNNNNNNNNNNNNNNNNNNNNNNNNNNNNNNNNNNNNNNNNNNNNNNNNNNNNNNNNNNNNNNNNNNNNNNNNNNNNNNNNNNNNNNNNNNNNNNNNNNNNNNNNNNNNNNNNNNNNNNNNNNNNNNNNNNNNNNNNNNNNNNNNNNNNNNNNNNNNNNNNNNNNNNNNNNNNNNNNNNNNNNNNNNNNNNNNNNNNNNNNNNNNNNNNNNNNNNNNNNNNNNNNNNNNNNNNNNNNNNNNNNNNNNNNNNNNNNNNNNNNNNNNNNNNNNNNNNNNNNNNNNNNNNNNNNNNNNNNNNNNNNNNNNNNNNNNNNNNNNNNNNNNNNNNNNNNNNNNNNNNNNNNNNNNNNNNNNNNNNNNNNNNNNNNNNNNNNNNNNNNNNNNNNNNNNNNNNNNNNNNNNNNNNNNNNNNNNNNNNNNNNNNAGAGGUUAUCUUUGGUUGAAAAAAAGCAAUUGAAUCAAAAUAUAUUACGGAAAAAAAUCAGAUAUAGCCAGAUUUAUAACUGAUAAUUGAAAAAUUGUCACAGUUUCAAAAGUAAUUGAAAUUUAGCUAUUUUUUCAUGUAAAGAUAAAAUCUGAACAAAAAUACUCUAAAAAUCCAGUGUAAUAUGGUGGGGUUUGAAUUUUUACAUAUGGAAUUCCAACAUAAUAUGUUGGAAUUUCAUCAUAUGUUAGAGUUCUAACAUAAUAUGCUGGAAGUUUAUCCGUGAGAGCUCCAUAAUCCAGUAUAUUAUGCAAGAAUUUUUCGUAUUUCAAUAAAAUAGUGACUAUUUUUCAAUGACCUUAUAAAUGAUGGUUAUUUUUCAAUUAUCAGUGAAAAAACGGGCUAGUCCAUUGCUAUUUUCAAAAAUAUAUUGGUGAGGAAGCUAAUAACACUGUCUUUAGGCUAAGAUAAAAUUUUGUCACUGUCAGGUCCAUCCAGCCCACUGGCUGCCCUCAAAAUCCCACCUCCUUAUAAGCCCAUUCUAUGCCUUCCCUUCUUCAUUCCCCUCUUUCCUUCUAUUCUCUCUUUCUCUCUCUCUAGUUUGUGGCACUUUUUAUGGGGUUGAGAGAAAAUAUUGCAGUGCAGAAAGCAACACUGAAAUCUCCACAAGGUUCCCAACUUAUCUUUUCACUUAUUCUGCCAUUCACUUCGACCUAUCUUUCCUUAAUUUUACUCCAAUUCCCAACCUUAAUUUUCCUUUUCUCAACCAAAAACACACCGCUUUCUUUUUCUUCUUGUAUAAAUUUAACAUUAUUUUCUAGUUAUUCAUCAUUAUCACUUAUUUAUUUUUCGAAUAGUAUUAAAAUUUAAAAGGUAAUGACUUUUUCUUUUUCGGAUGCAGGUUUCUUUAGAGCUUUUGGCGCGUAUGAGUGGAGUAAAUCCAGCAGCUUCAAGCCAAAGGCUGCAAAAACUGGAAACUGUAAGCCUAAUGGCAUCUUUAGCUGAUGGAAAGGUUAAGGGCCACCUUAGCCAGGUCUUUGUUUUAGUCAUCUGCACCUGCAACUUCUUCAUUCUCAUUCUCAUGAUGGGAGUUGCUUCUUCGUCUUAAUUUCGGUGCUAUCUUAUCUGAGCUUUCUCAUCACCUCUUCUCGUUUUUUAUUUUUCUUUUCUCCUUUUUCAAUUUUUUGACUUGUUGUUUUUUAUUCCUUUACCUAGCCGAGUCUUCUUGACCUUGUAAGACCUUUUCUUGACCUUGUAAGACCCCGUGUUUUGUGUUAUAUUUUUGUGUUUUGUAUUCUCACAAAUCUUAUGUCAUGACUUCUCGAUGUAGGAUUUGUUUACUGUCCGUCUUAGUUACCGCCCAACUCACGUUCUCCUUCCUUGUCUAUCCCUCCUGAGCUAUUCACACAUAUUCCUAAAGAUCUGAAUUCAAGAAGCAUGAUCCGAAGAAAGAGUACUACUAUUUGCCAUCAAGAGUGGUACUAAUGCAAAUUCAUGUGAUUAUUUAUAUACCCUUUUGUUCCUAUUUAUGGGGGGUUAUGAAUGUGAAUUUUGAAUAAACAUUGUACUAAAUCCUAUGUAUGGAUUGAAAUCAUUUAUGGCCGGGAAAUUACAUAUUCUAAUGGUACGGCCAUUUUUUUUUCUCUAUUCUUUUCAAGUUUUCUAGUUGCUUGGUAGUAGCUUUUUUAUUUUUGAUCUUAUUCUUUUCAUGACUGGUCACUUUACACACUUCCAUCAUCUCACCUUGUAUUUUUUUCCGAACUUCUAAAAUGAAAGUCGGAUUUUGGAUCUUUCUUUUUGAAUUUAAAGAAAAUAUACCAGGCGAAAAAUGUGCAGUGACGUUAGCCCAUUUAAUUUUGAAGAUUGUUAUAUAUUGAGGAUAGAGUUACAGCCUCGUAGUUGCAACUUAUCCUGUCAAAAAUUUUCUCAAAGUUCAAACUUAAAAUAAGUAAAAAAAUAAUCUCACAAAAGCUGUGCAAUACAUGUUAUGUAUCUCUAACAUAUAAUAUUUUACUUAUAUAAAUAGUGUAUUUUUUCGACAAAAGGGGUCAGUUGACCACCCUAACCCAAGUGUGUCUUCGCCCUUGCCUACAUGGAUCACUUUAAUACAAUGUUUUAGUUUUACCACAACCUUCUCUCUUUUACCUUUGCUUCCCUUAUUCAGAGUACAUUCCACCCACCAAAAAAAUUAAUAAUAAUAAUAAAAUAAAAAUUGAGGAACAAAGUUAUUGUGUAUCCUUUCUGAAUCUGUUACAAAUUUAUAUUUGGUGUGGAAAAAAUAUUGGGAGGUUGUAUUUGAGUAUUGCCCACAAGGCCCACGCCCUUCUCUUUUUCCUUAGUUUAUGGAAAGGGCUUCCUUUUAAGCAAGAAUGAGCUCAUGUCAUUUAUGAAGGGGGGGGGGGGGGAAUAAUUGUAACCAUUUGGGGAAAAAAUAUCAGCUUUUUAUACGAACAACUUUUUUAGAGUACUGGAAAAAGAAAUCAUUCACUCAGAUAGACAAAACCCUCUCUUGUCUGCUAGCCUGUUUUUAUAUGAUUUAUGAUUUACAAUAUAAAGACUCGUGGGUUGGACCAAUGCAAGUUAAAAAGAAAAAAAAAAUUCACUUUUACUUGCAACCAUUUUUAGUUGAUUUAUAUGUAUCCUGAUUGAUGAUCUAACACCUAAACCCUCAAAUUUAUCAUUUCGGCUUUCUCUCAACCUAAAAUUAAACAACAAAUUAAGAAAUGCUUAAUAUUGUUGACAUACGAUAGGUCCAUCUUGUUCACAUAAAGCGUCACAAACAUUUAAUCAUGUUCUCUAGCAUGAGUAAGAAUACUAUGUAGCCAUACAAAAUAAGUAAGGCAUGUUGUAAGAAGAACAUGAAUCAAAACAGACCUAAAAAGACCUAAAUUCAAGCAUGGUAAUCGUUGUAAUAUAUACUAUAUAUAUACUAUAAAAAGACCUAAAAUAUUAUAUACGCUCGUCACCUCGCAUAUACGUCACCCCAAAUACGCAGCAUGUAAUAUAGAAGUCCAUUUUAGGAGACUUUCCCUGAAGUCUAGGCUAAUCAGGACACUUACCAUAUUCGAAGUAGGCUUCAACCUUUAAAAUUGCUUUUUCUUUAAUCUCGGCCUGCAAAUGCCCAAAAUCUAGCUAAAGAAUAAUCAACAAGGUUAAAUAAUGCUAUAGGAAUUAAUCCUACGUGAAAAAGAUUCCAUCUUUAUUAAAAUCUCAAAAGUCAUAAAAUGUUAACCCGAGCCCAUAUGGUUAAAACACGAUAUCAAGACCAAAUCUCGGUGACACAUAACCUAUCAAGUCCAAAUGUGUAAUUAGAUUUCAAAUCUGAGUCCAUCGGUGUUCAAAUUAGUCAUCUGUUAUAAAGCUAACUGUGUAAUUAGUUUUCUACUUUUAGAUUAAUUUCUUGACUCUAAAAGCAAAGUUUAGUCAUCUGUUAUAAAGCCUAUGACUAAACAUAUGUGAUUCGUAGAGAAUUGUGAAUAAAUUGUCCAAAAAGGCAGAAAAAGUCAAGUCGGUAAUAACGAAAUUCAAGCACAAAAUGAUGAUGUUCCACAAGUUGGUACUUUUUCCAUAUAGCUUGAUAGUUUUCUAUAGUCUUAUACAUAAAUAUAUUCAAAGUUAGUGAUGACUGAAGGAAAACACAAAAUCUUGACUUUGAGUAAGUCUCAUGAUUUAGCUCAUAACUUAAAAUCAGCAAUGUAGUUUAUUCUGCCGGCAAUGCGGGUCACUCUUUCCCCACUUAUUUUUUACCUUUGGUAACAUCUAACAUGCCUUCCGUGUCUCUUUUCAUUAUUUAACCUUUCUUUCUUUUUCUCUCUCUUUUUAGGCAAAAUACAUAAUUUACCUUAUCCGCAAAUCUCUCUUACACACUUCUUAAAUACGGAAAUAAUAUUACACAACAAAACUUUUAAAGGUGUAUCAAUUACACACCACUUCGGUGUUUGACCACAUCUGAUCAAAGAUUGCUCUUACACGCGCCAAUCAGCAUCUGACACAUAUCAAAUCGAGGAAAAAAAAAACUGAAAAAAAAACUGCAACCCCUCCCCCUUCCCCCCAAACCCCCUCUUCUCAUCUCCUCAAAGAAAAAAAAAAUACAGAAAAGAAACCCUUCCCCUCCCCCCCCCCUCCCCUCCCCUCUUCAUCUUCCUAAACCCAUCAUCUUCUCCAUCACCACCAUACUACCACCAACCCUUCCACCACAAGAAUCUUCUUCCAUAACUAUAGAUUCAAUUCUUUGCCGAUUUUUAACAACAUCCAUCAUAAAAUCCUUAUACAAAUUUCAAAUUCAAGCUCAAACCCAAAGCUUUUCAAAAAGUCAAUAAUGGUGAUUUUUACAAUACCCAAUAGCUCCUAUGUUCUUUUUUUUUUCUUCUUAGUCAUGGGGUUGGAGAGACGAAAUAUGAGGUGGUAGAUAAAACUAGGAUGGGAAUUGGGGACGAAGACGAACCGGGGGGGGGGGGGGGUGGAGAAGACACUGGGUUUUGGGGUUGGAGAAGAAGACAUGAGUUAUAUUUUUUUUCUUUAAUUUAAAGGAAAUAGUUAAAAAAGGGAAAUUUAAAAAAAAAAAAUUAAUUUCAGGUGAAUUUUUUAGUUCACAUGCGCCUCUUUUAUGUGUAAUACACGCGUGUGACACAUGACAAAAAAGGUAUGUAAUUGACACAUUUUUAAAAGUUUUGAUGUAUAAUAUUAUUUCUGUAUUUAACAAGUGUGCAAGAGGGAUUUGAGUACAAGGUCGAUGGGUAAAACAUGUAUUUUGGCUUUUUUUAAAGGAAACUUUUAGUCAUAAUCAUUUCUUUUAAGACCUCUGCAUAAUAUUACUCGUACAAGAUUUGGCAUCUCAUUUCUCGGUCAAACUCAUCGUAAUGAGAAUGCGUUCCGGAAUAUAAUCCAUUCAUAUGUCGGCUCUAAUCGGCAACGUAACGCGUUUAUAAUUUAUAUUUAUAUAUUUUUUAUAUCUACUUGUCUACCUAUCUAUCUAUCUAUUUAUAAAAAUAUAAAUAUCAAAACAUUAAAUGUUUAUCAACAAAAAUAUUCUUUUAAUAUUAACUAACUUUUAAUCCCUUUAGAAGAUUAAUUAUUUUUACAAAAUAUAAUUUCACGUUGGAUGGAAUUGUAACUUAAGACUUGACCGAAUAUUAAUUGGCAUGGAGUUCUAACAAUCAAGUUCCAACUCUCGAUGUCCUACCUCGUAUUGACCCGGUCGGUCGUUUUGAAUAUUUUAGCCCCGUUUUCCCUAUUUGAUGUUGUUUACCUCAAAAAAUACGAGCAACAAUUAUAUAUGAUUUGUGGUUUUAAAGAUAUGUGAUUUAUUCUAAUACUAGUGACUAUACAAGUAAUAUUAGAUUUAAGAAAGAAGAAUUGAUGAACCAAACCAGUGUUGUUAGGGCAAUAAGGACCUCGAGCUCGACUAUCUCGGGGGCCUCGAGGUGAGUUAAGAGCAAUAAAGUAUGAACAAUAAAGUAAAAAUAAUAAAGCUGAAGAACAAUUGUGAAGCACAGUAAACAAGAAAAGCAUAGUAGAAUGUUCUAUUAUAGUGAAUGAGAUGAUCUUUACAAAUGAUUGGGGCCUCCUUUUAUAGAAGGGGAAAACCCUAAUAUGGUGCAUUUUCAAUUAUGGUAAAGAAUUCUAUUGAUACAACUAUAUAACAACCUAGUACGGACUCGUACUAUUUCGUACAAAUUUUAUCCCUUAAUUUAUGCUCUGAUCCACGUGUCCUUGAUAAAUUCUCGUUCUUUUUUUAGUGUCAUCAAAAUUAUAUUGUCCUCGAGACAGAUCAUGAUGGGUCUCGGAUUUGCUUCUCGAGGUGCGCACAUCCCGGCCGGGCUCGAUUUUUACUUUGAGCUUUCGAACUUGAGCUCGGGGUAUGAUCACGUCUUCGAAAUUGAGCUCUCCGAUUUAGACAGUACACAGAUAGUCCCUGCGUUUCUUAGAAUGAAAUGAUAUGAAACGAUUUGAAUUCGCAAAGUCCUUUAUUAUGGCAUCACUCUUUUGACGUAAGCAUUGAAAUGACCGAAGCGUCUCGUCGGUUCUCUUCCCCAAAAGCAUUAAAUGCACAUCAGAGCCGGUCGGUCAUCAAUAUUAAUGAACUGUCACUGCCUUCCUCUAUAUAUACUUGUUUUCUCUUCUCAUUAAGAACUUUUCCACCUUGCAACACCUAUUUUCCUCUAUACGUUUCCUUUUCACCACCUGUUCCUCCGUCAUAUUAGCUCAAAACCUCGCUGGUUUAUUCAUUUCUUCCUUCUUUUUCUAAAGAACCAAUGGCAAAAAAUUCCAAGUCUGUUCCUUAGAAAGAAGGAACCUCCACUUCUACUCCCCGUUCGGCCGGUGGUAAACCGACAACGCUUUAUGAGAUCGUACCGAGCAAUUUUUCCUUGAAAAAGGACUUUAUAGUCGAGACCUCUCCCGAUGUCCCCGGUCGUCGAGAGUAUGCAUCGAGAUACAUAAGGUCAAUUGAGAAAAAACACCUCGAUGCUAUGAGGAAAAUAGUGUAAAUGGGAAGAGAAGGUCGUUCUACAAAUGCCUUCUCUUGAGGAGGACAUCACAACUUACGUAGAGGGGUUCUUGAGUGUGUAUACAUACCCCUUUACGUUGGGUCCCCUCGACCCGCUCGUUCUUGAAUUCUGCCGAAGAUAUCAAGUCACCCUAGGCCAGAUUCAUCCGUCCUUUUGGCGGAUCGUAAUAAUGAUGAGGUUCUUCAUUUAAAAGGUCGGGCUCGAGUUCACCCUUAGCCACAUCAUCCGAUUAUAUCAACAACAACAUUUUCAAGGUUUAAUCAAACUCCAACGUCGAUCAACCAAGUCUAUCUUUGCCAGUAACGACGAAGAUAAGGAUCGAGGUUGGAAGAGCUGGUUCAUCAGGGUGAGGACCGUCGAUGUUAUUCCCAAGGAGUUCUUGCCGUUCCCCGAGAAAUGGAACUUCGAACGUGAGUGGAAUUCUUUGCUUUAGUUCUUUUUCAUAAAAUUUUGCUAAACUUUGCAUAAUUAUUCCUUUCCCUUUUUCGCAGCGGUCCUGUAGAUGCCUAAUACGGUGCUCGACCUUGAGGACUAGGUUCACAAACUAGUUGCUACUUCAUUAUAUAACAAACACAAGUGGCAGGACUUGUCGAAGGGCAAGUAGGAAGCGAAACACCAUGGUAUGCGUCAUAAUGUUUCUUUCCUUAUUAAGAAACUCUUUCUUCAUGUGGCAUGAUUCCUCUAUUGCAGUUAUUGGUGAGUUCUUCGAGAUGAGGCCGCCCCCCCCCCCCGAGGAGGAAGUAGGAUCUUUGGCUCCAAAGCCAAAGAAGGAUAACAAGAGGAAAAGGUCCUCGAAGGGCGAGGACACUCAAAGCCAAGCCGAGCCCGCUCGGAGGCGCAAGAAAAGCGUCGUCGUCAAUGUGGAUAUUGACUCGGUCCACCAGUUCAUGGAUGAUGAUGGUGACGAGAUGGAGGGUUCGAAGUUGGUGACUUGAACAAGGAAAUCUUCAGAGGCUAUCAAGCCUGAUGAGAUCGGGGCCACUAGCCUCGAGGAAGGAACUUUAAAAGAAAAAGAGGAUGAAGGCCCUGCAUCACCUGACGUGGUAAUUGCUUCUCAAACUUCUGGAAAUACUCCAAAGUGAGCGAGGUUCGAAGCUCCUUUCUUGAACAGAACUCCUCGGGUGAUCUCCCCGAGGCCAUGACAGCAGGUCAUUCCCAUCAUUUCCAGCCUUCUCCGAGAAUGCCAUUGGGGAUGCUCAGAACUUGAAGAUGUCCGAUUUAGGCGGAGUCCCGAGUGAAAAUGACCCCUUCUAGGGUUGCUUUUGCUGGGGUCAAUGAGGCCGACCCAGCGGAUGCGAGCUCAAUCUUUGAGGAGGCUCAACGUAUUUGCUCAAUUGUAAGUUUUUAGUGGCACUGCAAUUUCUCUAAUGCCAUACUUUUCUUCUUUUGUCUAAUCGAUCAUUCCUUUCCUUUUUGUAGGACUUUGACAAAUUGAAGACCGAAUUGCGUCAUUGUGAAGCCGAGUUGCGUAGAGCUUUGAAUGAGGAGAAAACCAUUAGGCUUCUCCUUGACAAAAAGGAGGAAGAACUGAAGCAUCUUCGAUCGGAGUUGACCAAAGCUCGUGAAUACGAGAGUGAGUUAGAAAAGUAGGUAACCUCUGUUCUGAAAAAAUACUGGCUACCUCUCUCGUCUUCGGAGGCUAAUACUUUAAUGUCUUAGCUACAGCAAAAGAUAGAGAUGCUAGGACGUCUUCGUGGUGAGGUCGACCAAAUCAACUCUGAGUGCAAUAAAUGGAAGGCGAAGAUGGACACCCUCGUUAUGGCUAAAAAUGAUGCACUAGCAAAGGUAUCGUCCCUCGAGGUUCAACUUCGGAAUGCUCUAGGGAGAAACUUGGUUCAGGCUAGCAGAAUAGUCGAGCUCAAGGUUAGUCUUGCGAAGGCCAAGGCCGAAGUUGUGGAAGUCUAGAUCGAAGCCAGAGAAAUACAAGCCAAGGCCGACAGGACGGUGGCCAUCUAUUUGAAGGAUGCUACUGAUGCUCAGAUGGAGUUGAGGGGGGCUUUCGAUCGAGAGAAAAGAAGCAAUAACUAUGCCCAACGUCGAUCCCGAAGGGAGACCCUCAAAGAGGUCCAUGCUAAGGGCUUCGAUCUUUCCGAAGAGAUAAAGAAAGCUAAGGCAGAUGAGGCUGAUGCCAAAUUUGUACUUUCCUCCGACGAUGAUGAUGACGUCGUAGAUGAUAAAGAGGAGGAUAUUGCUGAAGAAGCUACCCCCGGGGAAAAGGCUGGUCCCGAGGAAGUGCUAGGUCCGAGUGGGAAUGCCCCUCUGGUGUAGGUAGAUUUUUUUUUAUCUGUUUUUGUAAAUUUUUGCUUUGUAGGACUCCUAUAAUAUCUUUUUGUAUAUAUAAAAAGAAAAGGAGUUUCCUUGAUCGUUUGCUUGAUUUUUGAUGCUAUAAUCUCUGAGCGUUGAUUCAAAUUCGGGGUAGAGUAGACCCGCAAGUUUUGUGUUUUGAUCAAAGAUCGAUAAUAGGUUACCACUUAAGGUUCGAUUUUCGAGCUAAUUUUUAGCUCGGGACUUUUGAGUCCGAGCUGGGUAACGUCUCGAGCAUGGUGUGCUUCGGCCUUUAAGCUCUUUAAAUAUUGGCCCUUAUGCUUUUUAGGUAGGCUCUUUUAGGUUGGCCCUUAAGCUCUUUUGGGUUGGCCCUUAGCCUCUUCAGGUAGGGCCAAUUUGGCCUCUAAAAUGGCUAUAAAUGUUUCCCUUUUUCUAGCUAAAGACUUAGUGAAAAUUUGUUAUGCCUUAGCAUGUAUUUUUUGUAUUCAUAUUCGUUCGAUUUUUUCGAAGGUUCGAUUGAUUGGAAUCUCGUUUGUAAUUUGAUAUGCAACGUUAAUCGUAUACCUCUUGAGGUUUUUUCGAAGGCUGAUGUUAUCGAAGCCUUCACAUUAUUCGAGGGUUGGUUUUAUUGAAGCCCCUUAUAAUUUACUUUUGUCGAGGGUAGCCUGAUUUAACCGUCUUUUCAAUGUUUGAAGGCCUUUAAUUUAUGGCGGAAGUUAGAUGUCUUCGAGCCGCAUUAUUUUGGCCAUAGCCUUUAUAUGACCGUAGCCAUUAAUAUGGUCGUAGCCUUCGGGUAUGCCAGUUGGACUUGUUUCCUGAUAACUUUUCGAACUUGACCGAAGAGUUAGUCACUGAGUAUAUUGGCCUUGGCCUUUGUUUCGAGGGGGUGUUUCGAGGGGGUGCCUCUUUGAGGUCUUAUGAGUUCGAGUUUUUGAUGACUCGGAUGUAUUGGCUGUCGGUGACAGUCCCCGAGUAUUUCAGCGUGCUUUGUUCCUUGAGCGGUUUCCUGUAGGAUUGUAAGUGUAGAACUCGUAUGAUAGUAAACUUCUUUGAGAUACAAAGCAUUUUGAUAUAACCAGAAUGCUUCUUCAAAUAAUUGAUACAUACGUACAUGUUUUUCUGUCGGGGCUCGACUAUUCUAUAUGGACACGGUUCAUUUGACCGUUUGGCCUAUUACAAAGUUCUCCUAUUGAGGCCCUCUUAGGCGUGAAGUAUUUUUCUUAAAAAUAUAAUCUCCGAGAGUGAUGGCCCCUAUUAUUCGAGGUUGAUUGAAAAUAAGCCUUGGAUACUGUUGAGUUUUUCUUAGGUAGCACAUAAUUGUUGCCUCAUUAAAAACCUUUGCCGGUAAAAUCCAUUUGGGAAAAAAUCUGAUCUAAGGGAAAAAGAGUGCAACGCAUGCUUUAAAACCUAAGGUCUGCGUGUAGAAAAUGAUGCCUUCGAGAUCUUGUGCCUUUGAUUGCUUCGAUCAAAAAUCUAUAGUGAGUUAGUUUUAAAUUUAAAUGGACAAAAGGGAUAAAGUCGUGCCUCAGCAGUAGUAUCGUUUGAGCAAUGAUAUGUUCCAAUUGUUCGGUAGUUGUUGGCCUUCCAUUGUACUAAGUUUGUAAGAACCUUUACCGAUAACUCCGAGGACUCGGUACAGUCCUUCCCAGUUCGGGACCAAUUUCCCUUCAUUAAGGUCUCGAGUAUUGAGGGUGACUCUUCGUAGAACUAAGUCCCCAAUUCCAAAAUAUCGAAGGUUGGUUCUUCUAUUGUAGUACCUUUCGAUCCGUUGCUUUUGCGCGGUAAUCCGAACAAGCGUUGCUUCUCGCUUUUUGUCCAACAACUCGAGGCUAGUAUUCAUGGCACGUGGUUUGAUUCCUACGAUGCGUGUCGAAACCUGGAGCUGGGUUCCCCGACCUCGACGAGGAUGAGGUCCUCGGAGCCAUAUACUAGAGAAAACGAGGUGGCCCCCAUUCUAGACUUCGAUGUUGUCCGAUAUGCCCAAAGGACCUUGGGUAGGACUUCUCUCCAUUUUCCCUUCGCAUCAUCUAACCUUUUCUUCAAGUUUUGAACGCUGGUUUUGUUUGUUGACUCGGCCUAACCAUUUGCACUUGGGUGGUAAGGUGCUGAUAGAAUCCUUUGAUUUUAUGGUCCUCGAGGAAUUUUUCACUUUGCUACCAAUGAAUUAUUUCCCAUUGUCACAUACUAUUUCGGCAGGUAUCCUGAACCGACAUAUGAUGUGGUCCCAAAUGAAAACGAUGACUUCUUUUUCUUUUAUAUUCUCGAAGGCUUGCGCUUCUACCCAUUUUGAGAAGUAGUCAGUCAUAAACAAAAUAAAUUUAGCUUUACCUGGCGCCAUUGGCAGGGGGCCAACGAUGUCCAUCCCCCAUUUCAUGAAUGGCCACAGAGAUAUGACCGAAUGGAGUUGUUCACCGGGUUGAUGGAUCAUCAGUGCAAAUCUUUGGCAUUUAUCACACUUUCGAACGAACUCCUUAGUAUCCUUUUCCAUGUUAUCCCAGUAAUACCCCGCCCUGAUCACCUUGCGAACCAAAGAGUCGGCACCAGAAUGGUUCCCACAAGUGCCUUCGUGGAUUUCUCGUAAUACAUAAUCGGUGUCCCCAGGUCCCAAGCACACUGCCAGUUGUCCAUCGAAGGUUCUUCUAUAUAGCGUUCCAUUUUCAUUGAGUGAGAAUCGAGCUGCUUUGGCUCGAAAUGCUUUCGACUCUUUUGGGUCCGUGGGGAGCUUCCCAUGCUUCAAGUAGUCGAUGUACUUAUUCCUCCAAUCCCACGUUAAACUUGUUGAAUUAAUUUCUACAUGGCCUUCUUCGACCACCGACCUCGAUAGUUGGAUGACACUCCUCGAUAUGAUAUUAUUUUCUUCAACCGAUGACCCCAAGUUUGCAAGUGCAUCAUCCUUGCUAUUCUAUUCUCAAGGUACAUGGUCUAGUGUCCAUUCCUUGAAACGGUGCAAUGUCACUUGAUGUUUGUCUAAGUACCCCUACAUUCGAUCGUAUCGAACCUCAAAGCUCCCAUUUACUUGAUUUACUGCCAAAAGGGAGUCACACUUUGCCUCGAUGACCUCCUCUCUAAGGCCCUUGGCUAGUUCGAGACCUGAAAUCAUGGCCACAUACUCGACCUCAUUGUUAGUCAAUUUACAAGUUUUGAUAGAUUGCCUAAUGACAUUGCCCGUGUCACACCUCCUUUUUACUACACCCCGGAAGGGAGUAUAUAAGGGAGUUUUUUCUAACUUAAAGUGACAAUCGUAACGGGAUCAUUUUAUUAAAAAUUCAGAGUCGCCACUUGGGAUAAUUUAUGGUGUCCCAAGUCACCGGUUUAGAAUCCCGAAUCGAGGAAAAGAUUGACAUUGUUUUACAGUCCGCGAACACAGAAAUCUAGGUAAGGAAUUCUGUUAACCCGGGAGAAGGUGUUAGGCAUUCCCGAGUUCCGUGGUUCUAGCACGGUCGCUCAACUGUUAUUUUUGGCUCAAUAUUUGAUUUUAAAAACACUUUUAGACCUAUGUGCAUUUUAGCUUUAAACCGCUUUUAAUUAUUUUAAGGAAGAUUUCAAUGUCAUCUAAAAUACGUCCUUGGACCACGCCACAUGAAAUGAACCUGCAGUCCGAGACACAUUUUAUUUAACAUUGUUAAGAUUUGGAUUUGGGUCACAUGAAAUGCACACCCGAGUUUAGGAAAGUAAUUUUAAAUUACGCGCCUAAAGCAGCUACGCAUUUUCAACUUUGCGAGGGCCAUGGACUUAGGGGUUUUAUUUGGCAUGGUAUAACAUUUAUUUUACCCAACCAUUCAUUUAAUCAAAUUGGUCCAAACUAAAAUACAAUAAUACUUUUUAAGCUUAAUCUAAUCUUCUGGUUUUCUAAGACAACGAAUUGGGCCAAACUAGCUUAAAUACUAACUAAAUAACUCAUUAAUUAGUAAAAGUACCUCAAAUUUAAAAAUAAUCAUCACAACCAACUUGUCAAAUUCAUGCCAACUUUCCGACAACUUCACAUUCAAACAGAAUAACAAAACUAACAAAACACAAAAUAAUAGACGUUAAUAAAUGGCUAAACCAUACCUAGAACUAUUCAAAUGAACAAGAGCAAAAGAAUUGAAAUAGGGGUGGUUUUGGGACUGCUUUUCGGCAGUUUUGGACUGUUUCACAGGGAAAAGAGCUGGCUACGUUUUUGUGGUUGUUCUUUGUUUUUUUCAUUUUUUUUAUUUUUUCAUUUUUUUCUCAUCUUUCUUUUCAAUGGUUGAUCGAACCUGAUGUGAGUUGCCUACGUAUCAUGUGGGAACAUGAAUCAGAUCCUGCGUAGUUCGGGAAGAUCAUGAAUAAAGUAAAUAAACUAACUUUUUUUUUUGAUUUUGAAUUUUUCAUUUUAUUUUUUCAAAAGAAAGACUUAUAAAGAGAAUAUUUUUUGAAUUUUGAUUUUUCUUUAAAAUUUUGCAAAUAAAGACUUCUAAAGAAAAGAGAUAUUUUUUUUUGAAUAUUGACCUCUUUUUUUUUUUGGAAUUUCGAAGAAAAACUUCUAAAGAAAAAGAAACUAUUUUUGAAUUUUUGGACUUCUAUUUUAAAAUUAUGAAAGAAAGACUUCUAAAGAAAGUAUUUUUUGAAUCUUGAAUUUUCUUUUCAAUUUUUGAAAGAAGAAUGAAAAUAUUUUUGGAUUUUGAGAAGAAAUUAAAAGAAAAUGUUUUGGAUUUUUUUUUAAAAAAAGAAGAAAUUGUGGUCUUAAAGAAAGACUUUCUUAAAGAAGGAAGUAAAGGAAAAUAUUUUUGGAUUUUUUUGAAAAUUAUGGGCCGGAACCGAUGAGGUUUGCCUACGUAUCUCACAUCCGGUGAGAAUCAGACCCGCGUAGUUCGCCCGUUUUGACGGAACGGGAGAACAUGACACUUGAAAAUUUUGGCUCAUUUUGAAAUGACUUUUUUUUUCCAGAAUUUUGACAGAUUUUCAGAAUUUUCUAAAACCUACCUCUCCCUUUUUGUUUCUUUUUUCUUCUUCUUUCUCCUCUUUUUGAUUUUCUUUUUUUUCCUUUUUUUUCAUUUUCUUUCCCUAUUAUAGAAGCCAGUCAACAUGUAAGCCGAAACAGACAGAUAUGCAAGUAGCACGUAAGAUGCAUCAGUAUGGUCUUUUAAUUUGGGUACACAUGUCCUAGACGGACCCAACCCCUGUGUUGAGUCCCCACUGUCAAAUGCAAGUGAUGCAAACAAGCGUUCCUAAUAGGGAUCCGGCAUGAGUCUAUGUUAUUCUAGGUUUAAAAAUCUGGGUGUAUUGUUCUAGACCUGGCUUACCCGAGCGGACAGCUCGAGCCGAGCGGGGGCAGCGUACCGGGAAUACAGAAGCUUCACCGGCUUUGCAACUUGUCUGAACCUCGUUCUAAAAUUGGGAUAUGACUCUAACAGAAAAAAGUCACACGAAGUGCACACUUCCCAAAUGAUUUAGAAGACUCAGAGAGAAGAUGGUUUCGUAACAAUUUAUAUACGGUUCAAACAAUAUUAUAGCGGUAAAAAGUGACAUUUAGCACAUUAGGCUCAAACAUGUAAAAAAAAUCAGAUAAUAAAUAAAAGUCAAGUAUAACAAUUAUUCUAAGCUUGAAUUCUUGAACCCUGAACCAGAAGUUCUGGGUUUUUGUCCCCAGCAGAGUCUCCAGAGCUGUCACACCUCCUUUUUACUACACCCCGGAAGGGAGUAUAUAAGGGAGUUUUUCCAACUUAAAGUGACAAUCAAAACAUGAUCAUUUUAUUAAAAAUUCAGAGUCGCCACUUGGGAUAAUUUAUGGUGUCCCAAGUCACUGGUUUAGAAUCCCGAAUCGAGGAAAAGAUUGACUCUGUUUUAUAGUCCACGAACACAUAAAUCUGGGUAAGGAAUUCUGUUAACCCGGGAGAAGGUGUUAGGCAUUCCCGAGUUCCGUGGUUCUAGCACCGUCGCUCAACUGUUAUUUUUGGCUCAAUAUUUGAUUUUAAAAACACUUUUAGACCUAUGUGCAUUUUAGCUUUAAUCUUCUUUUAAUUAUUUUAAGGAAGAUUUCAACGUCAUCUAAAACACGUCCUUGGACCACGCCACAUGAAAUGCACCCGCAGUCCGAGACACAUUUUAUUUAACGUUGCUAAGAUUUGGAUUUGGGUCACAUGAAAUGCACACCCGAGUUUAGGAAAGUAAUUUUAAAUUACGCGCCUAAAGCAGCUACGCAUUUUCAACUUUGCGAGGGCCAUGGACUUAGGGGUUUUAUUUGGCAUGGCGUAACAUUUAUUUUACCCAACCAUUCAUUUAAUCAAAUUGGUCCAAACUAAAAUACAAUAAUACUUUUUAAGCUUAAUCUAAUCUUCUGGUUUUCUAAGACAACCAAAUGGCCAAACUAGCUUAAAUACUAACUAAAUAACUCAUUAAUUAGUAAAAGUACCUCAAAUUUAAAAAUAAUCAUCACAACCAACUUGUCAAAUUCAUGCCAACUUUCCGACAUCUUCACAUUCAAACAGAAUAACAAAACUAACAAAACACAAAAUAAUAAACGUUAAUAAAUGGCUAAACCAUACCUAGAACUAUUCAAAUGAACAAGAGCAAAAGAAUUGAAAUAGGGGUGGUUUUGGGACUGCUUUUCGGCAAUUUUGAGGUGAGUUUUGGCUGUUUUUUAGCUCGAUUUUUAUGGCUACUUCGCUACGUUUUUUCAGCUGAGUUUUGGACUGUUUCACGGGGAAAAGAGCUGGGUUUUCGAGCUGUUUCGGGGUCGUUUUUGUGGUUGAUUUCAGCUGCUUUUCUUUAGCUUUGCUGGCUGCGUUCUUUGAUGGGACAGAGGUAUUUUCACGGCAGUUUGAGUAGCUGUUUUGGUGGAGGAAAUAGAUCUCUUUGUUGCUAGUUUCAAUGGAGUUUCCAAGUGAGUUUAAGCUUGAUUUUCAUGGCCUUUUGGGAGGCUGAAUUUGUGGUGUUUUCAAGUGGAAAAGGGACAACAUUUUGAACUGGUUUGCUCACAGAUAGAGGUUGGUUCUUGGCUCUUAUCAUGGCUGGAUUUUUGGGGUAAGAUAACAAAGACAAUGACAGCUUUUUAUUUUAAGAACCUAAUCAGUAGAAAAUCAAAUAUCUUAUACAAUCAAAUUCAAACAUCAGGCACGAAGCCGAUCCUUGGAAUCCAAUUCAAUAUGACAAAUUAUUACUCUACUUGCUUUAGGUGUAAUCGUUCUCUAAUCAAAUUCAUAUAGCUGAGUUUAUAUACACUGGUUUCACGUUUUUGUUACCCGUCGUCAUGACCCUUCAUCAAAAUUAAACUUCUGCUUACUCAAACUAAUAAACAUAUAUUCAUCAUUCAAUAUGCUUAUCCAAGGUAAGGCAACAGAUUCAACCAAACAACAGAAAAAAAUGGAGCCAAAACAAAUCAAUAUUUCAUUCAUUCGAACUAGAAACAAUCAAAGAAACUGGAAGUGUACAUACCUAGUAUUUAAAACAAACUUGUGAGGCCAAAUAAGGCUAAGAAGGAGACAGAGUGGAGCUCAACUUCUACAUGAAUACAACAACAGCAGAUUUUCGAACUCAGCAAUUUUUAGAAACCCAGGAAGCGUUUGGUAAUCAAAACUCGCAAGCCAUCGAGUUGAUUUCGGAUUUUUCCCUUGAAAUUCCACUUUCCCCUUUUUCUUUUGUUUCUUUUUAGAACUUUGCUUUCUACUCAAAACACAUGCACAACUUCAAUUUAAGUCCAAAAUCAGCUCAAGCAACCAUGAAUUAUUGAAACAAAACAACAGAAAUCAGACUAGCUUUUUAAAUCUUUUUUUUUUGGUUUUUGAUUAUGUUUUUCGAGAGUUUUCGCCAAAUCUGGAAUCUUAAAUUCCAGUUGCUGCUAAGGCUUUUUGCGUGUAUAUGUUAGUGAAAUCAGAGAGGAAGGAGAGGGAGAAGGAUUAUGUGAGGGACCUGAGAGCUAAUUGGGAUGGAUUUUUCGUUUCAAAAGAGAGCAGAUAUGGAGCGCCGGUGCUCUGUAUUUUCCAAGGGUCUUAGGGGUCUAAAUUGUAUGGAAAAAUAUGAUCCCUUAAGUCUAGGUCUUGC
RNAcentral lists this long non-coding RNA (41892 nucleotides) under Nicotiana tabacum (common tobacco). RNAcentral describes it as "long non-coding RNA (NTAB_LNC001881)". The record is from RNAcentral. Lineage: Eukaryota; Viridiplantae; Streptophyta; Magnoliopsida; Solanales; Solanaceae.